This is a long non-coding RNA of Sinocyclocheilus grahami, 410 nucleotides long. RefSeq lists it as uncharacterized. The record is from RefSeq and is a predicted model, not a curated record. Lineage: Eukaryota; Metazoa; Chordata; Actinopteri; Cypriniformes; Cyprinidae. The transcript has 3 exons.
UGGUUCCCGACAGAGCCUGUGAUUGCUGAUGCUGAUAAGAAAUAAGUUCAACACCCACAUUCAUACAGUCCCAAAUAAGGAAUAGAAAAAUGUGGGAUCCCUCUCAAAAGGACUGUGAAGAUGUCUUUUGCUGAUGAGAAAAAAAAUCAUGUACAUAUGAAAUAAAAAUAUAUAUUAAAAUAUAAUUUUUUUUCCUUUUUCAUAAUUUAAUGCUUGGCCUCACAAUUAUGAAAAAGCACAUAUAUUUAUUAUAUGAACAUUUACAUCAGUAGCUGCCUGCAUGUAUUGAUUCUUGUCUGUGUAUCGCCUCACAUACUCGUCCCUGACUGAGUCCAGUGAUGUAACUCGGAUCAAGUCCUAUCCGGACCAACAGGAGUGUUUGUUCAAUUCAAUUCAAUAUUAGCCUUUCA